Molecule: long non-coding RNA, 900 nt
Organism: Solanum pennellii
Lineage: Eukaryota; Viridiplantae; Streptophyta; Magnoliopsida; Solanales; Solanaceae
Exons: 5
Source: RefSeq, a predicted model, not a curated record
UAUUUCUCUUUUCUAACUUUUUUUCUUCUUCUUGAACAUUUACAGUAUUUUCUAGCAAAUUUAUUUUACUAAAAAUAUGCAUGUCAACUAUUGAAAUUAAACCUGCAAUUUUCUUGAAAAUUGAUGUUUCAAUGUUGGGGAUCUUGUUAAUGUCUAAAAAAAGAAAGUUGUUACGGUGAUGAUGCUUAAAAGCUUGAGAAGUUGAUGUUGAUUUUGAUUCUUCCCUCUAAAUUUUGCUCAAUCUUCGUCUGCAAUUUUCCUUUGGCCAUAUUUUUCAGCGAGUGUAUCAAUGACUUCAAAUUGCCCUCAACUCUAGCCAGUAUCCAGCACAUCAGAGUUCAGGUUAUACCACAAACUGCUCACAACUGUUGGUUUUGAUUCUCAACGCCAUGGACAAAGAUCGACAGAACUAUUAAGAUAGACAAUGUUCGGAGGCAUUGAGGAAAGGAAAAGUAUUGGAAAAGUAGCUUGCUUGACUUCGGUUCUUCGGUGGAGCGAGUGUAUCAAUUUUCCACAGCUCUAGCCAGUAUCUAGCACAUCAGAGUUCAGGGUGAGCUAUUAUUUCUAGCUCGUUGGAUUCUCUCAUUCACGUCUUGAUGUCCUUGAAAUUUCGAACAUGAACAAUGUUUUUACUUAUUUUGGUUUCUUAAAUACUCUUAGAUUUGGUAAGUUUAGAAUACAUGUCCUUGAUAUGAUGACUUUCAGGUUUUGGGAAAUGAUAUUCCAUAAGAUUUUGAAUUUGUACGUUAUGCUUGUAUUUUGUAAGUUAGGUUAUUUUGGUUGGUUUGGCCACUUAGGAGGUUAAGUAUGGUGUCACUCACGACUCGCUUUGGGUCAUGACAAAACUAAAUGUGACAAGUAAAAGCGAACGGACGAAGUAUUUAAUAACUUUGUCCUAGU